This 486-nucleotide ribosomal RNA is filed under the name uncultured bacterium. RNAcentral describes it as "partial 16S ribosomal RNA". It matches the Rfam family "Bacterial small subunit ribosomal RNA", at positions 29 to 507 of the family's 1533-position model. The record is from RNAcentral.
AUUGAACGCUGGCGGCAUGCCUUACACAUGCAAGUCGAACGGCAGCGCGGACUUCGGUCUGGCGGCGAGUGGCGAACGGGUGAGUAAUACAUCGGAACGUACCCUGUUGUGGGGGAUAACUAGUCGAAAGAUUAGCUAAUACCGCAUACGACCUGAGGGUGAAAGUGGGGGACCGGAAACGGCCUCAUGCAGCAGGAGCGGCCGAUGUCUGAUUAGCUAGUUGGUGGGGUAAAGGCCCACCAAGGCGACGAUCAGUAGCUGGUCUGAGAGGACGAUCAGCCACACUGGGACUGAGACACGGCCCAGACUCCUACGGGAGGCAGCAGUGGGGAAUGUUGGACAAUGGGGGCAACCCUGAUCCAGCAAUGCCGCGUGUGUGAAGAAGGCCUUCGGGUUGUAAAGCACUUUUGUGCGGAAAGAACUCGCGCUGGUUAAUACCUGGCGGGGAUGACGGUACCGGAAGAAUAAGCACCGGCUAACUACGUG